AUACGUAGAGAGCAAGCGUUGUCCGGAAUCAUUGGGCGUAAAGGGUACGCAGGCGGAUAUAUAAGUCAAAUGUGAAAGUUCAUGGCUCAACCAUGAGAUUGCGUUUGAAACUGUAUAUCUUGAGUACAGCAGAGGGGAUCGGAAUUCCUGGUGGAGCGGUGAAAUGCGUAGAUAUCAGGAAGAACACCAGUGGCGAAGGCGGAUCUCUGGGCUGUAACUGACGCUGAGGUACGAAAGCCAGGGUAGCGAACGGGAUUAGAUACCCCGGUAGUCCUGGCAGUAAACGAUGGACACUAGGUGUUGGAGGUUCGAAUCCAUCAGUGCCGCAGUUAACGCAUUAAGUGUCCCGCCUGGGGACUACGGUCGCAAGACUGAA
Molecule: ribosomal RNA, 376 nt
Filed under: uncultured bacterium
Lineage: Bacteria
Description: bacterial SSU rRNA
Rfam family: Bacterial small subunit ribosomal RNA
Source: RNAcentral